UUGUAGUGCAUAUUUGUUUU
RNAcentral lists this microRNA (20 nucleotides) under Physcomitrium patens. RNAcentral describes it as "ppt-miR1044-3p". The record is from miRBase by way of RNAcentral. Lineage: Eukaryota; Viridiplantae; Streptophyta; Bryopsida; Funariales; Funariaceae.